GACGAACGCUGGCGGCGUGCUUAACACAUGCAAGUCGAACGGAAAGGCCCUGCUUUUGUUGGGUGCUCGAGUGGCGAACGGGUGAGUAACACGUGAGUAACCUGCCCUUGACUUUGGGAUAACUUCAGGAAACUGGGGCUAAUACCGGAUAGGAGCUCCUGCUGCAUGGUGGGGGUUGGAAAGUUUCGGCGGUUGGGGAUGGACUCGCGGCUUAUCAGCUUGUUGGUGGGGUAGUGGCUUACCAAGGCUUUGACGGGUAACCGGCCUGAGAGGGUUACCGGCCACAUUGGGACUGAGAGACGGCCCAGACUCCUACGGGAGGCAGCAGUGGGGAAUAUUGCACAAUGGGCGGAAGCCUGAUGCAGCAACGCCGCGUGCGGGAUGACGGCCUUCGGGUUGUAAACCGCUUUCGCCUGUGACGAAGCGUGAGUGACGGUAAUGGGUAAAGAAGCACCGGCUAACUACGUG
RNAcentral lists this ribosomal RNA (468 nucleotides) under uncultured bacterium. RNAcentral's name for it is "partial 16S ribosomal RNA". It matches the Rfam family "Bacterial small subunit ribosomal RNA", at positions 28 to 507 of the family's 1533-position model. The record is from RNAcentral.